GUGCCAGCCGCCGCGGUAAGACAGAGGGUGCAAACGUUGUUCGGAAUUACUGGGCGUAAAGCGCGUGUAGGCGGCUAUGUAAGUCGGGCGUGAAAUCCCACGGCUCAACUGUGGAAGUGCACUCGAAACUGCGUAGCUAGAGUCCUGGAGAGGAAGGUGGAAUACUUGGUGUAGAGGUGAAAUUCGUAGAUAUCAAGUGGAACACCAGUGGCGAAGGCGGCCUUCUGGACAGUGACUGACGCUGAGACGCGAAAGCGUGGGGAGCAAACAGGAUUAGAUACCCGGGUAGUCC
Molecule: ribosomal RNA, 292 nt
Filed under: uncultured bacterium
Lineage: Bacteria
Description: partial 16S ribosomal RNA
Rfam family: Bacterial small subunit ribosomal RNA
Source: RNAcentral